AUGGUGCAGUGGUUCGAGAAGGCCAGAAAGAUGUGGGCGAAGGAAUGGUCAUCAAGAAAUGAGGCUACGAUAAAGCUGGCUGAAGGCUUCUUUAAUAUACUGAUGAUGACAGGAUUGUCCCAGACUCCCAACCAGUGAGAAAGAGAAGCUCAUAUAACUGAUCAGUUCAGCAGCUCCCUGGAGCUUGAAGUCUAGUAAAAGGAAAAUCUGGGUAUCUGGAUCACUGCUGACUUGGCAAAAAGACUACUCUUAAAACAACACUAUAUCAGAUGGUAGUUCUCAUCCCCCUCCUCAGAGUCUUUCCCCGGCACAGUGCCCUGACCCAGAAGCAGCUGCACACACAGCAAGAAACCUGCUCAAUAAGAGCUGCUGUCCAUCCUCCACUAAGAAAAGUCAAGAGUUCAAGCUUUCACAAAGCACAUGACAUAUCCAAGAAGGAGUUCCAGCAGCUUGAUUAAGUCGCCAUACACCUUUGCCUUCACCACAACCAGUGAAAGAAAUCAAGCCAAAGCAGACAAAGCAGAAGAAAACCUCAGAACAGGAGAAUAAAUGGCAGCCAAGCAUCAAUAAUAAGAAAGCCACAGGACGACCUCAAAGAGCUACAGCCUUGACCAGAACCUACAGAGAGUCGUCUGACUCGGACAACCAGUCCAGCCUUUCAGAAAGUGAAAGAGCACCACCCCCUAAGGAAUGUGGUUUUCAGCACAGUCAGAUCACUGGGAUCAUCAUUAAUUCUAAAUGCCUUUAUUUAAAGUUUCACAUAAAUUCACUUCCAGAAUAAAAAUGUUGUGAUCAUUUAAUCUCCAUGAUGGCAUUCGAGAUGUUUAUGUCUUCAUCUUCAAUCACAAAGAAAUUAAGGUUUUUGAGAAAAACAUUCCAUGGUUUUUCUUCACAUAAUGGACUUCAAUGGGACCCAAUGUACUUAAGGUCCAAAUUGCAGUUUUAGUGCAGCGUCAAACAAUCCCAACCGAGGAAUAAGGGUCUUGUCUUCCAAAACAAUCUUUCCUUUUCUAUUAAAAUCAAAAAUCCUCAAAAACUUAAUUUCUUUGCAACUGAAGAAAGAAAGUCAUGAACAUUUUGGAUGCCAUCGGUGUGAGUAAAUUUUCAGGAAGUUUUUAUUCUGGAAGAGAACUAAUCCUUUAAGACUUUCAGGGUCUAGACAGACUAAUGAUAAAAAUCCUGAUGAUCAUUAUGUCUCCGUCUUUUCCUAAUAGAAAAAAGCAAUUGGGCCACACUUCAGCAGAAUGUCCCAGCUCAAGCCACAGAACAAGGAGAAAAGAGAGAGAAAACCCCUGUAGACACAGCGAAACAACAAAGUGAGAAGAAUGUACAGAAAAAGGCGAAGAUUCUGCGAGAUCAGAGGAAUGAUAAAGGCAAGAAGAAGUCUAGUCCAGAUCAUCUUCCAGUGAAGAAGUCGUCAUCUGCUCAGGAGUCGCCCAGCAGACCAGGAAUCUUGGACUGCGAGAUCCCUCUGUUGAGAAGAUGAGAUGCUCCAGUAUUAAACUGCUGAUGAAGGAUCAGAGCAGCUCAGAGGAAGAAGAGAAGGACAUAGUCACAGAGAACAGGAGAACAAAGAGAAGUUACCAAAAGGCCUGAAUAAAAGGGCCAAGGAAACAAUAAUAUCAACUGAGGAAGUGGAGACACUGUCAUCUUGUACAAGGUCCAGUUACAGGCAUACCAGUGUGGAGGCAGACAAGGACCUGACCUGACCCAGGAUGCUCUAAAUACUCUACUCUACAUACUCUGUCAGUGUCCAAGUACACCAGCACAGGUCAGGCAUGACCCUUGACUCAGAAGAGGUCAUGUUUCCACCCUAUAACAGGUCUGAUACUUAGCCCUUUUGUCGAGUAUUUUGUCGAGUAUUUAGAGGCUGGAGAAAGUUAAACAAGUCCUAGUGCAUGAAAUAGCAAAAAGUAGACGCUUAUCAGGAGAAAGGAAACAAGAGGUGAAAAUAUAUAAGCUGCUGCACAAACAUGAGAUGAAUGCCAUAGAUUUCCCAGCUCAAAUGUAAUUGUAAACUUAUCUUCCCUUGAUAACUGCUCUGUUCGCAUAAUAUGUAAUCACGACCUGUUUAUGACUAUAAAACAAUCCAUGGGUUGCGCUGGGUUGUAGUAACAAACAGGAUUUUCCUGCCAACCUAACAAGAUCUAACAAGGGGAAAAACAGAAAGGUUUAUGCAAUCCUGGUUAUUUCUUCACCCUGUAAUGAUAUUAUGCAAAGAAUCUUUUGAUUUCUUCGGAGCUUUAAAAAAAAGGGCAUUGUAAGUCAUGUUUCAGAGAAUGUAUCUAUCUCUCUAGAUUCAAACAAAGUAACUGAUUGUUUGCUUUGAAUAGUUCUGUUUACAAAGGAUUUGUAAUGUAAGCGCUUGUCUUUCUCAGUCUUGUUGUUUUGUCUCAGAUUACAGCAGUUAAAAAGCACCAUUCAGACUGACAUGUGUGAAAGUCUAUAAUAUGAGAAACAAAUCUUCUUUGUGGAGACGUCUUUAAUGAAGAAGAACAUGAAGUCAGUUCAGGAGCGUUUCUUCAAAGAAAUGGUUUCUCCAGUGGCCGUCUGCGGUGGAGACGCAGCCUCUCGGCCACCACUCGUCCCCAGGGCGCUGGAAGAAUAAGUGAAUCCCAUGAAUGAAGCCACGGCUCUGGAAGAGGCACCUCCAGGAUUUUAUCAUGAACGCCGCUUUCAGCAUUUUCUUCACAGAAGAAAACCACCUCUUAGGGCCUGUGAAACCUGAUGGAGAGGAAAGAAAUCAACAAAGUGUUGCCAGCUUGCUGUGGCGCCGGAUGGGAGGGGUGUGGACUCCACUCACCAAACAGCUGGAGCGCAGCACCUUCUCCUGCUCCAUCACAUCUGUAACACACAAGACAGACAGCAACCAUCAGCAUCUAUCGGUGACAUGAACAUGUAUACAG
Carassius auratus (goldfish) is the source of this 2906-nucleotide long non-coding RNA. RefSeq lists it as uncharacterized. The record is from RefSeq and is a predicted model, not a curated record. NCBI's taxonomy places the organism in Eukaryota, Metazoa, Chordata, Actinopteri, Cypriniformes, Cyprinidae. The transcript is spliced from 13 exons.